Molecule: ribosomal RNA, 355 nt
Filed under: Arthroderma cuniculi
Lineage: Eukaryota; Fungi; Ascomycota; Eurotiomycetes; Onygenales; Arthrodermataceae
Description: eukaryotic LSU rRNA
Rfam family: Eukaryotic large subunit ribosomal RNA
Source: RNAcentral
GGGUGGUAAUUUCAUCUAAAGCUAAAUAUUGGCCGGAGACCGAUAGCGCACAAGUAGAGUGAUCGAAAGGUUAAAAGCACCUUGAAAAGGGAGUUAAACAGCACGUGAAAUUGUUGAAAGGGAAGCGCUUGCGGCCAGACUCGGGCGCGGGGUUCAGCGGGUGCGUGUCACCCGUGUACUCCCCGCCGCCCGGGCCAGCAUCAGUUCUGACGGCCGGUCAAAGGCCCCCGGAAUGUGUCGUCUCUCGGGACGUCUUAUAGCCGGGGGUGCAAUGCGGCCCGUCGGGACUGAGGAACGCGCUUCGGCUCGGAUGCUGGCGUAAUGGCCGUAAGCGGCCCGUCUUGAAAACACGGAC